GCUAGCGACUGUGACAGAACGUUGAAUACGCCACGCCAGUUUCCAAUGGAUCACUGAAGUUAAGCAAUGUUGCUCGUGAUUGGUAUCCGGAUGGGCUGCCAAGUGGGAAAUUGCGUCCUGCUGGAU
Molecule: ribosomal RNA, 126 nt
Filed under: Diaphorina citri (Asian citrus psyllid)
Lineage: Eukaryota; Metazoa; Arthropoda; Insecta; Hemiptera; Psyllidae
Source: RNAcentral